UAAGACGAGCCUCACAAACGUUAUUCGGAAUUACUGGGCUUAAAGGGUGCGUAGGCGGCGCGGAAAGUUGGGUGUGAAAUCCCUCGGCUCAACCGAGGAACAGCGCCCAAAACUACCGUGCUCGAGGGAGAUAGAGGAAUGCGGAACUUAGGGUGGAGCGGUGAAAUGCGUUGAUAUCCUAGGGAACACCGGUGGCGAAAGCGGCAUUCUGGAUCUCUUCUGACGCUGAGGCACGAAAGCUAGGGUAGCGAACGGGAUUAGAUACCCCGGUAGUCCUAGCCGUAAACGAUGAGCACUGGAUUGAAGGCUCCUCCAUAGGCUUUCAGUCGCAGAGAAAUUGUUUAGUGCUCCGCCUGGGGAGUAUGGUCGCAAGGCUG
This 377-nucleotide ribosomal RNA is filed under the name uncultured bacterium. RNAcentral describes it as "bacterial SSU rRNA". It matches the Rfam family "Bacterial small subunit ribosomal RNA", at positions 521 to 896 of the family's 1533-position model. The record is from RNAcentral.